This 167-nucleotide ribosomal RNA is filed under the name uncultured Nitrosomonadales bacterium. RNAcentral's name for it is "partial 16S ribosomal RNA". It matches the Rfam family "Bacterial small subunit ribosomal RNA", at positions 366 to 527 of the family's 1533-position model. The record is from RNAcentral. Lineage: Bacteria; Pseudomonadati; Pseudomonadota; Betaproteobacteria; Nitrosomonadales.
GGGGCAUGGGCGCAGCCUGAUCCAGCAUGCCGCGUGAGUGAAGAAGGCCUUCGGGUUGUAAAGCUCUUUCAGUCGAAAAGAAAAGGCUGCAGUGAAUACCUGUAGUUAAUGACGGUAUCGACAGAAGAAGCACCGGCUAACUACGUGCCAGCAGCCGCGGUAAUAGG